CGAUUACGGGAGGCAGCAGUGGGGAAUAUUGCACAAUGGGGGGAACCCUGAUGCAGCCAUGCCGCGUGAAUGAAGAAGGCCUUCGGGUUGUAAAGUUCUUUCGGUGACGAGGAAGGUUGAUAUGUUAAUAGCGUAUCAAAUUGACGUUAAUCACAGAAGAAGCACCGGCUAACUCCGUGCCAGCAGCCGCGGUAAUAUCG
RNAcentral lists this ribosomal RNA (200 nucleotides) under uncultured bacterium. Its description in RNAcentral is "partial 16S ribosomal RNA". It matches the Rfam family "Bacterial small subunit ribosomal RNA", at positions 335 to 527 of the family's 1533-position model. The record is from RNAcentral.